Molecule: ribosomal RNA, 446 nt
Filed under: uncultured bacterium
Lineage: Bacteria
Description: partial 16S ribosomal RNA
Rfam family: Bacterial small subunit ribosomal RNA
Source: RNAcentral
UCCAGACUCCUACGGGAGGCAGCAGUGGGGGAUAUUGCACAAUGGGGGAAACCCUGAUGCAGCGACGCCGCGUGAGUGAAGAAGUAAUUCGUUACGUAAAGCUCUAUCAGCAGGGAAGAAAAUGACGGUACCUGACUAAGAAGCCCCGGCUAACUACGUGCCAGCAGCCGCGGUAAUACGUAGGGGGCAAGCGUUAUCCGGAUUUACUGGGUGUAAAGGGAGCGUAGGCGGCUGUGUAAGCCAGAAGUGAAAGCCCGGGGCUCAACUCCGGGACUGCUUUUGGAACUACAUGGCUUGAUUGCAGGAGAGGCAAGUGGAAUUCCUAGUGUAGCGGUGAAAUGCGUAGAUAUUAGGAGGAACACCAGUGGCGAAGGCGGCUUGCUGGACUGUAAAUGACGCUGAGGCUCGAAAGCGUGGGGAGCAAACAGGAUUAGAUACCCCAGUAC